Molecule: long non-coding RNA, 368 nt
Filed under: Homo sapiens (human)
Lineage: Eukaryota; Metazoa; Chordata; Mammalia; Primates; Hominidae
Description: long intergenic non-protein coding RNA 2674
Source: RNAcentral
AGUCUUGCCUAUCCCUGGGCCACCGUCAAACAAAGCUGCUAAUUCUAAAGCUUUAAGUUUCAAAUUGAGAAAUAUUGUUCUAAUAUGGCAACAAUGGGGCUGUUGUCCUUUCAAGAGCUCUGCGAUUACAGGCUCGUUUUAUGCAAAACAAAUGGCAGGUGCCCAACACCUUGAUCAGUGCCUGCUUUGUAGUAGGCAUUCAAAUACUGUGGACUGGAUGAAUGGAGUCACUUCCCUUCCAACCUGCACACCAACGUGGUUGAACUGCCUCCUUUCUAAGUGCCAAAGUCUGUUUUACAAGGCUGUAAGUGAAAUCACUGACAUGGAAAUUAUAUUUUCAAAAUUAAAGGAACAAUUUUCUAAAGAAA